CAAGCCUAUAAAUGAAAAAAUAAAACUAAUUUAAUCUCACAUAACGUGAUCCCAAAUUGAACUCGUAUCGAGGUUUUAACCCAUAAGCGACUAAACCUUACAUUCAAUCGAUGAACAGUAAUUCCCACACAAAUUAAGACUCCGAUUGGUGAUUACUAGCCCUUGAAUCCUCCCCUAAUUGGCAUAAACAAAACACUUCAGAAGAAAGUUAACAAACGGAGACAAAUCACUUAUCUAAAACUUAUCAAACAAUCGCAGACAAACGUAGAGCGACAUGAGGCAGAGUGGGAAAAGAAAAAUCAAGAAGAUGAAGGGUGAAAGGGAGUAAAAAUUCGGCCGCAAUGAAGAGAAAAAUGGCAAGAGGGUGGAGGGAUUUUGGGGGAAGUAAAAAAAAUAAAAAAAUAAAAAAAAGAUGAACAAAAUAUUUGAUAACCACCCCAAUCCCUUAUUUCUCUCCAUCAAUCUCCCUAGUAAAUGCACUAUUCAGAUUUUUAGUCCAUCUCAAGCUCUCCUGGACGCACGAGCAAAAAUAAUGCCCACACCAAGAUUCAAACACAGGACCUCCUUCACACCAAAACUUCACUCCACCAG
RNAcentral lists this long non-coding RNA (591 nucleotides) under Gossypium raimondii (Peruvian cotton). RNAcentral's name for it is "long non-coding RNA (GRAI_LNC005633)". Lineage: Eukaryota; Viridiplantae; Streptophyta; Magnoliopsida; Malvales; Malvaceae. The record is from RNAcentral.